This is a long non-coding RNA of Trifolium pratense (red clover), 564 nucleotides long. RefSeq lists it as uncharacterized. Lineage: Eukaryota; Viridiplantae; Streptophyta; Magnoliopsida; Fabales; Fabaceae. The record is from RefSeq and is a predicted model, not a curated record. The transcript has 2 exons.
UCGAUAUUCAAAUUCAAAUAACUUCAUUUAUUUACUCAAAUAAAAUAUUUUAUUUACACUUAGAAAUUAUGGGUUUGUUUGCUAGUAAAUUCUACAACGCCUUCAUGUUCCUAUCUCUUGUUCUUCUUCUCCUUCUUUCCUCAAGUGAUGUCGAAGCAGCAAAAAUUUGUAGAAGCAAAAGUAGAACAUGGUCGGGGCCUUGUAUUGAUAACUCAUCAUGUAGUUCAAAAUGCAAGCAAUCGGAGCAUGCAAAUUAUGGUUAUUGUGAACACAAUGGUUUUUGCUAUUGCUACUUUUAUUGUUCAUGAUCAUGCAAUUUCCACCUUUGACACCAAAUGCUAUGUCAUCACUUAGAUUAAAAUGUUAUCAUCAUUAUGUCUAUUUGUUGGUUUGGAUCAGUUUUGGUUCACCUCGUUACCCAAAUUAAUCGAAAUUUUCCAAUUUGAAAUAAAUUGAGUGUAUGUAUGAUACAAGAUUAUUGUAUGAUGACUAGAGCUAAACACAUUCAAAUUAUUAGGUCAACAUUCAUGAAAUCUUAACACAUUUAUCUUGUAUUCCAUUCAA